This 510-nucleotide ribosomal RNA is filed under the name uncultured bacterium. RNAcentral describes it as "partial 16S ribosomal RNA". It matches the Rfam family "Bacterial small subunit ribosomal RNA", at positions 28 to 507 of the family's 1533-position model. The record is from RNAcentral.
GACGAACGCUGGCGGCGUGCUUAACACAUGCAAGUCGAACGAAGAGCGACGGAAGCUUGCUUCUAUCAAUCUUAGUGGCGAACGGGUGAGUAACGCGUAAUCAACCUGCCCUUCAGAGGGGGACAACAGUUGGAAACGACUGCUAAUACCGCAUACGAUCUAAUCUCGGCAUCGAGGGUGGAUGAAAGGUGGCCUCUACAUGUAAGCUAUCACUGAAGGAGGGGAUUGCGUCUGAUUAGCUAGUUGGAGGGGUAACGGCCCACCAAGGCGAUGAUCAGUAGCCGGUCUGAGAGGAUGAACGGCCACAUUGGGACUGAGACACGGCCCAGACUCCUACGGGAGGCAGCAGUGGGGAAUCUUCCGCAAUGGACGAAAGUCUGACGGAGCAACGCCGCGUGAGUGAUGACGGCCUUCGGGUUGUAAAGCUCUGUUAAUCGGGACGAAAGGCCUUCUUGCGAAUAGUGAGAAGGAUUGACGGUACCGGAAUAGAAAGCCACGGCUAACUACGUG